This 483-nucleotide unclassified non-coding RNA is filed under the name Hevea brasiliensis (rubber tree). The record is from RNAcentral. Lineage: Eukaryota; Viridiplantae; Streptophyta; Magnoliopsida; Malpighiales; Euphorbiaceae.
GGAAAUGACGGAGAGACAUGAAGUUGAGGAAGAGAAACACACGAGGGCGGUGGAGCAAUUGGUGGUUGACGGUGGUGGAAGUGGAGGAGAUGGUAGCGGAAAGAAAUGUGGUGGCGAUGGUGACGGUGAUGGUGAUUCUGAUGGAGAUAGUUUUGAGUAUAGUACUGAUUUGUAUUACACAAAGAUGAUUCAAGCUGACCCUGGGAAUUCACUACUUCUUGGAAAUUAUGCGAGAUUCUUGAAAGAGGUGAGUGGAAACAUGGUGAAAGCAGAAGAAUAUUGUGAAAGAGCAAUUUUAGCAAAUCCAAGUGAUGGAAAUGUACUUUCAUUCUAUGCUGAUUUAAUUUGGAGAGCACAUAAAGAUGUCCCUCGUGCUAACAACUACUUUCACAAAGCUCUUAAAGUUGCACCAAACGAUUGCUAUGUGUUGGCUUCCUAUGCCCACUUUCUUUGGGACGUAGAGGAUGAAGAAGAAGAAGAAGA